AUUUUUGUUGGCCAUCAGGGUGCUGCCUGCCCUGCCUCACCCAUGGGGGGACAGCUGACACCUGCAGGCAGGUUAUCUUGAUGGAAACUAAGGCUAAAAGGGCACAACAAAUCAAGGCAAGGAAUUUGCAUGUGUAGCCCACAAUGUAUUUUCUGUAGAGGAUUUGUACUUGUUCAUCUAGUGGUGUUUCUUCAUUUAAGAUCAUCUACAUUCAGCAGGAUGCUGAACAAGAAGUGAUGGCAUCCUUUGCCAACCCUCAGUGUUCUUACAAUACGGUGCAUAGUGAGCAAGACUAUCAUACGUCGCCCUUCUUUGCCUUGAAUUCUCUUCUUUCCAUUUCUGUCUGUCCUUCCCUGUUUUUCUAUCUAUGUGAUUUAGCAAGUAACAAAAUGCCAUGCCCAUUUUCACGCAGCCUGUAGUUCCCCUUCUCAGCCAUAUGCACCCACUGCUCUGCCCUAGUCCUGCCCAGCCCUCCUGGUGCCUGCAUCAUUGCUUGGAAUGAACAGGCAACAUUAUUAUGAGAGUUGAACACAGAAAAAAAAUGUUUUCAAUUAUAAAUGUUCAGAAUUCUACCAAAAAAAAAAAAAAAAAAAAGAAGAGAUCAAACGUUUUUUUAGGUCUUUGACAUCUUUGAAUAUGUGUUAGACAAAGGAAAAGGAAAAGUGCUUCCAGAAACUCAUAAAACCUUUCCUUUCUGGUGGCAGAAUUUGUAAAAUUUGAGUAUCUCCUCUAACCUUAACCUUAGGUGACCCACUAAACUCAGAGAAGUCUUUGCUGGAACAACAGAAGACAUUUGGUGUUUCAGGUGCUGGCUUUUGUGUACCACUAUACUAUUUGCUUGCACAAAGGCACUCCUCUCCAAAGUGAGAUAAAUUGUUUUGUUGCUUCCAUGUGAAGCACAUGAACUGCUCUCCCACCUUCUGACUGACAUUGGAAAGGCAAUGGUCUGCCUUGAACAGCCCUACCUCACCUGCUGGAGCCCUCUGCCCCCGUGCAGAGCUGGGCUGGAGCAGGCACUGGGGCCAACUGCAGUCCACUGAAUGCAGCUGAGAUGGAUCCACCAAUGGAAGAGUUCCUGCAGCACGGAUGGACGCACUCAGGGUACCCACCACCACGAAACACCAUGCAACAGAGUCUUGAGCCUCACUCUAAUAUCAUGCGUGCUGCAUUCAACCGACAUAAAGGCAAACAGAAAGGCUGAAUUUACGCCAGCAAGUCACAGUAAGCCGUGCAUUGGCAAAAUAUUUAAUCGUGCUGAAAUUGGAGGCCGGAUCCUCCCACGUGGCUUUAUUUUGGCAUUGCAAACUGCACAUCUUCGAAAGCUUCUCCGGGAGCAGUGGCAAAACCUUACACUGAGGACUAGUUCUGAUUUGUGGAGGAUAUGGAAGAGAAGUGGGAAGAAAGAAAGCUGCUGCUGUUUGGCGGCUUGUUGUUUGGGGUUUUUUUCUUCUUCGCUUUAGGCAAAUGAAAGGAAUAAGUUCACUUAUGAUUGCUUUCAUGUAAAGAAAAGUUAAUAGAAAUUUUAAUAACAGUAGCAGCUUAGGAGAGUUUGAGGCCAUGACACGUGCAGUGCAAUGGAGGCAGCUCCUGCAGCAGGCUGCAGCUGCCCAUUGCUAUAGCUCUGCUUGGGGCACAGGGGGAGAGCUCCGGGAGAAUUCAGAAGGGUUCAUUCUGCCCUGGUUUUGUGCAGCCCUGCGUGCCCAUUGCAUACACAGAACACCAUGUAGCAGCAGUGUGACCAUUAGUCACUAUGUCAAUGUACAUAAAAAGGAACAGGCUCAGUAAUAUAUAUGAUGAACUUUUACUGAUUGUCGUAUGUGCCCUUCUGAGCUCUUUCCCUCUGGGAUCCACAGCAUCAGCGCUUCCUUCCCUUUCUCUUGGGCAGCAGCAGCAGCAUUUCUGUCCUGCUGGUACUGCAGGCACCAUGGCUGUUUGCUUUUCCUGCCAGGCAGCAAGCCAGCACUGAGGUCAGACUAUUCCCAGGAUGGAUGCAAGGUCCUGGUGUCAGCACUGCUCACAUCAGUGUUGCAUACAUCAGCUCAACUCCUGCAGCCUCCUGUGCCUUCUGAGCCUCCCAUGCAUUGAGGCCACCACCUCCCAUGAGGAUGAAGGGGAGGAAGAGUGGGGUGCAACCAUGCACGCCCCAUUGGCAGAAGCACCUGGGGGUCUUCACUGACCAACACUGUGAAGGGCACUGUUAUUGUGUGUGCACUGUCCUUGUAGACUCACCUCAGCAGUGAUCUCACACCACUGUGCACUUUCCUGGCACACUGACAAUCCCAGUGAGCAGCUGCAGUUCCAUGGUGGCUACAUUAAGAAUGUGACUUCUACAGCCAUCACUGCGGCCAUCAGCAGUGGAUGUCUGCCGUGCAAAGGGACGUGCGUGCCAACAGCAAGCACCUGGGCAUGGAAAGCUGGUUGCUGUUACUGUAAGUGAACCCUUCAGUUUGUAAGUGUGAGGAAACUGGAGAAGUUUAUGAAAGAAGAAAAAGGAUGGGGUACCGGGAGACAAAAGACUCAUCGCCUUGCAGGAAAGGCUUGAAUACAGGAGAAGAGGAGAUGGAUUGGAGCUCGUUUUGAAGGCAGAAGGAGCCAUCCCCAAGUCAGCUUCCUGCACUUCCAGUGACAUUUAUAGAAGUGAACAGAGAUUCCACUGAUUUCACUUUUGACCAUCAGCCUGAACGCGUCCUCCCAACUGGAAAGGCUUUUUUCACCUUGAUGAUCCUUGAGGUCCCUUCCAACCCGAGCCGUUCCAUGAUUCUGUGAUUCACCGACUGCAUCACAUCCAAUAAGGAAUCCCAGUGCAGCGCUGAAGCAACCCUCCUUCAUCUUCAUAUUUUGCUCCAGGAGCCCAAAUUACGGCUGGGUCACCAGGCUGGAUGGCUCUCUGCAAACAUGGAUGCAACAGAGCAAGGCCACAUGCAGAGCCAGCUCCUACAGCGCCUACGGGCUCUCUCCUGGCAUUAAGAAGGUUUGCAACAUGUGAGCUGUGACAGCUGCAGCACAGCAAGCUGUGUGCGGUGAGGGUACAAAAAGAAAUGUCCUCACAGGUCCUGCUCUGCUCGUCCGGAGUCUGCAAAGGGUCAGAGCAGUGCUGCUCCGCAUGGCUUCCAACUUUAUUUCUCCCAUUGCAUAACGCUAGAGAAAUAGCUAAAGACAGCAAAAUGCAUUGCUCCUCUGCUGCUCAGGCUAAUCAUGGCACGUCACCCAAGGAAGGUAUUUUCUUUUCAUAGAAUCGUAGAAUCGCAUAAUGUCCUGGGUUGCAAAGGACCACAAUGCUCAUCCAGUUCCAACCCCCUGCUAUGUGCAGGGUCGCCAACCAGCAGACCAGGCUGCCCAGAGCCACAUCCAGCCUGGCCUUGAAUGCCUGCAGGGAUGGGGCAUCCACAACUUCUUUUUUAAGGACGGAGGAUGUUACCUGACUUCAGUGACUCUGCAUUGCUGGGAGCAGUGAUUCCUGUGCUCAGUACCUGCUCCUGCCCCCUGGAAACCCAUGGGCUGUGCUCCUGCCUGGGACCAGAGUCUGCUCGUGUCACUGCAUGCUGAGUGUCACACUCAGACAGCAGUACAUCUUCUUGCUCCCUGCAACAAAUGCUUUCUUCCUGGUGAGAUGUCUAAAAGGAAAAUGUCUAUUUGCACUAUAUAUAAAAUCUCUAAAAUAGGCAAUUUAUUCAUUUCCCCUUCACUUUUAUUACACCUCAAAGGAGAAAUCUGUUGCACAGUUUCUGUAUUUUAAUCAUCCGUGAAAAAUUCAAUUAAUAUGCAGUUAAUGUCUUGUCACUUUCACUAAUAUUAGGCAAUGGGAUUGAAGGGAUGUAAAGCAUGCACGGCUCACAGAGAUAGUUUGCAGAUUUAUAACGUAUACACUUGAAAUUAGUCCUUGAAAAUAUGCUCUGGGGUGGCCAGGUCCUGUGGUGGGGUCAGUCACAGCAGUGCCCCCAUUCCCAGUGCUGUACCUUCUGCUGCAGAAGCACGUGAGCUAAAACGUGCUGAAUUGUCACUCUCCUUAUUCCUUCCAUAUUCUUCUCAUAAACUUUUUAAAACUCCACUUAAAGCCUAUGUUGUUGAUGGACUUCGAUGGAAUGGAAGUGUUUCAGAUGCACCAGGUAGGUUAAUCUGUCUGAUUAAAUCAUUCUUCAUACUUCAGAUCAAAUACCUUCGGUUGCGCAGUGGUAGUGCUAAGAAGGGCUUCUUGAGUUCUGCUGGGGAGAUGUGAUUCUGCCCCUACGUCUCCCUAAUUGAGGAGCUGUUUUGUGUCCACUAUACGUCACUUCUGUGCAGGUCGUACUGCUCAAGGAACAUCUGAGACACCAAAUAUGCCAUUCCUUUCUUCCCAGAAUGAUUUAAAAGUUACUCUGGGUCCAAAGGAGGGAACAGCAGCUCCUUCCACCCAGCGGCCACUCUCCAUCAGGCAGCACCAGGAGCCAGUCUGUGCCUGGCUGCUGACUCCUGCAGGACUGAUGCUGGGCUCAUAUGCAGUCUCCUGCACACUCUGCAAGCAGCUGUAAGUAAACCUUAAGAGAGAACUGUCAGGCAAACCUGGCAACCCGCUUUGCCCCUUCACCUCCUUUAUAAAAUGGGAAUGAUGGGUGUAUCAUCACCACGCGCACAUGGAGUGGGUUUAUGAGAGCUACAAGUGAGGAUGCUCGCUCUGUAUUUAGAAGGAGCAGGUUAAGUUUUUAUUAUUAUUGAAUUCUUAUGUUUCAGAAUGCUCAGCUCAGAGAGAUUUUUAUUAAACUCAUCUGUCAGAAUAGAAAUACUUCCUGGAGAAGGCUGGAUUGUAAGGGACGUAUUCGAUGAAUGCGCACAUAUUAUGUCCAUAAAUGUUUGUUAGAAAAAUUAUUCCCAACAGAUCUGACAGAGAUAUGAAAAAUUAGAUCACAAAUCUCAUUAACGACAGAGCCACUGAAAGAGGGAUGAAGCCAAUUACUGUCGAUAUUACUUGUCAGAAGAAUGUCAUGGCUCUCGUCUCGAUGCCGGUCACAUAUCUCUCUGUUGAAAUAACUCCGCAGAUGACUCCUUUUCUCCCAUCAGCAGUGAAUGAAAGAAGUUUCCACUUUUCUUAUGCACAUCCUGUUACCUCCGUUAUCCGAGAGAUGCACUGUUAAUGCUGUGAAAAGUCGGGUGACUGCGGGACCGCACUCAUUGACCCCAUGUGCCCCUCCGCUCCCACCUCCUGCUGGCACUUCCGUGCAGUGAGGCAUCAGGCUGCUCUGUCACCAUGACAACUUUGCUUUUCAUGACAAAAGCAGUCUGUCGGUAGGGAUUUGAGCACUCUGUAAACGUGGCUACUGAGCAUCACUCUUUGUCACCGGGAAAAAACAAAAAACCUAAACAAGUACUUUUAACUGGGAAGUAAAAGGAAUGUUCCAUGUGGGGGACCUGUAGUGGCAAUGCUAAGUAACGGCCUGAAGCAGUGAUUGAGCACCUGGUGGGAAGGCAGGGCCAGCCCAGGGGAUCUCAGGUGCAUGUAAUGCAAUGCAAUGCAAUGCAAUGCAAUGCAGCUGAGUGACCAGAAGGGUGGAGUCAGGAUCCUCCCCUUCCCAGGCCUCAUUUAAGGGCUGGCAGUGGAGGUGAAAGCAUCUUGCUUGAGAUCUCUGCUCCCUGGAGGCCUUCUAAAGGUAAGCAGUUUUUCUUCCUUUGUUUUUGCAUCCCUGGCUGGCUGCUGCAUUUGGGCUUGUUCUCGUUUGGUGUAGCCUAGGAUUGUGCCACUCUCCCUUAUUGCUGUGCUUUCUACCACGUUAUAGCAUUACAGUACUGCACUUGGUAUGCCAGCUACUUAUUUAUGUGGAUUACCUUAAAAAAAUCAUGUGCAGGAUGAUUACUGGGACCCUGAAGCAGAAGUUUCAAAAUAUCCUCAAAAAGCAGGGGUGAGAAUUACUGGAGGAAAAAAUAACCGAAACAACAACAACAACGUGGAACCUGGAAAAUUUCCUAGUUCCUAAUAAAAGCAAAAAGCCUCCUGAAUUGACCCAGGCCUCUAUGCCAGAGUCACCUGAGGAAAAGGAAUUGGCGAUUCUCAGCUACUUGCAUGAAAGGGAUGCUAGCCCCUCUGUACCUGGGGCCUCCAGUCCUGCCUGGGGGCCCCUAUAUUAAACUGACUGUGUUUUGGUCCCAAAAGAAUAUAGGGUGAGUUAUGGCACUAGCUGAUGUGGGUGCAGAAAUGUCAAUUAUUUAUGGUGAUCCAACCAAAUUCCAUGGAGAUGAGGUGGUGAUUGGUGGGUUUGGGGCAUAGACCGUGCCUGUAACCCAGACACCGUUAAAGUUGGGUGUCUUCCACACCAGGAGUGUAAGGUGUCUAUUGCCCCAGUUCUGAAGUAUAUAACAGGCACAGACAUGUUAUGGGGUCUGACUCUCCAGAUGACCAUAGGAGAGCUCAGACUGAGAGAGAGAGAUGUAUUAGUUUCCAGGUAGUGCAGGCAAUAUUAAGAGGCCAUGUGAAACGUGAACGUAUUCACUUGCCCAUUCUGUGCUAGAUUACUAGUACUAAACAGUAUAGAUUCCCAGAGGGUCAAGAGGAAAUACUUAGAAUGGUUCAGGAGCUAGAAAAAGUAGGGAUCAUAAGACCUGCAUAUAGCCCAUCCAAUUCCCCCAUAUGGCCAGUGUGGAAGUCAGACAGCACAUGGAGAAUGACAGUGGAUUAUGUAGAACUGAAUAAGGUCACACUGCCCAUUCAUGCAGCUGUACCCAAUAUUGUCUCCCUGGUGGAUACAUUGAGUGCGGAGUUAGAAACCAAAUAGUGUGUCCUAGACUUUGCAAAUGUAUUCCCUUCCCAUCCACAAAGAAUUACAAGUUCAGUUUGCAUUUAUGUGGGGAGGCAGGCAGUGGACCUCUUGGUUCCUGCCGCAAGGGUAUGUGCACUUGCCUACAUAUUGUCAUAACUUAGUGGCGCAUGACCUAGCAGACUGAAAUAAUUCUAAUAACAUCAAGCUGUACCACUAUAUUGAUGAUCUCAUGCUGACAUCAGACUCACUGAAGGCAUUAGGAAAGGCAGCAGUCUUACUGGCUACCUAUCUACAAAAAAAAAAAGGGUGGGCUAUAAACCCACAGAAGUUGUAAAGACCAGGCUUGUAGGCCAUUCCUGAAGAUGCCUGAUAUAUGGAAGAUAUGCCCUGACCUGCAUCAACACAGCAAAUGGGCUAUUGCAGGGCUAUCCAGUGCCAAAGCAAACCAGGGAUAUGCCAUUAAGGUGCUUACCAAGAUGAUGGCUGCCUACGGAACACUUCGAGUCCCUUGGUCACUCUCGAUGACUUAUUUCACUGGUGCAGUGGUACAGUGCUGGACAGAAGAAAACAACAUUGAGUGGUGAUUCCAUCUGCCAUACAAUCUGGUGGGGACAGGCCUUAUUGAAUGCUAUAAUGGUAUUCUGAAGACUGCCCUGAAGACAGACUCUCAGUCCCUGCAGGGGUGGACAAAGACUCUAUGAAGCCCUGCAGAACCUGAAUGAAAGGCCUAGAGAUGGCAGACCCAAUGCCCUAAAGAUGCUGCAGGCAACAUGGGCUUCCCUGCUAAGGAUCCAAAUUAUGGGCACCGAUAAUCAGAGCACAGCAGAAGAUAAUCACAAGGAUGCCAGGACGUAUUCUAAGUGGAGAAACAUUGGCAGUGGAUGUCACUGGAGCAAGAUCCUGGAGACUGUGGAGACUUCUGGGAAGGAAGGAGGUUGUGAGCAUCGCUAUCACGGCUGAGCAGCCGGCUGCUCCAAGGGGUUAGUAUAAGUAAAAUAAAAGAGGCGGGGAGAACAAUGACUGCAUGUGUUCUCCUAUCUAGCAAUGCAUUGUCAGUGCAACAACGUUAAUUUUUAAAUGGGUUAUUUACAUUGCACAAUGAAGUAAAUGUACCUCAUGUUCUUAUUCUGACUCUUAAUCCCAAGGCCUGUGGCUCCUUAAGUCUCAUUUGUUUAUCACCUCAAUGUUACAGUCUGGAUUUUAGCAGUGAUCGGACUGAAGUUACCCUCAGGCUUUUAUUCCCACAAUCCCAGAAGCUCUCUUCAAACAGAUCUUUAUUUGUUGAAGUGUAUUUAUUAUCCACUUGAACUUCUUUGAGCAGAUCGUAUUGAAAAUGAGAACUGCACGAGGCUGUUCCUACUGCUUGCAGCUCAACAUGCACUGAAAUGGUUAAAUUCAGCACUUCAUUUUUGCAAAUGCUCUCUCAAAUUAUUUUGGCUUUCGUGAAAUUUUCUUCCCUCCGGCUUCAUUUGCUGGCAUAUCUAAAAACACUUACACACGCAUAACUGAAAUCCAACACAUCGAUGGCUAUUAACCUGUUGGAUGUUACCUAAUGAGCCCAUAUGUUGUACUGUCAUUCAUUUACUGUGACAGAAGGAUGACAUGGAAAUGCUGACAUGUAUCUCUGUUGUUUAAUGCAGACACAGCGUAACUCAUUAUUUUGUGCAGCAAACUGAAGUCUCUAAUGCCUGCAAAACUGAAAGGGUGCUACAGUAACUGCUUGUCAGAAACAGAACAAAAUCUGCCUUUCCUGUGCGCAUAUAAAAAUACAGGUGACUCUACAAGCAGCUCAAUUUGUCACUCAGCCCCAUCCAGGGCUUUUCAAAGUGAGCUUUUAAUUCUCUGUGGCUGCCUAACAGAAAUCCCACCACGUCUGUGUGAACUGAAAGAACCGCACGUUUCUCUAACUGUGACCCCAAAUAGGUAUUAAUGCAGCUGUUACAUCCCAAAUACUUCUCUAACAGUUCUCAGAUUGUUCUCCCCAUUCAGUUACAGCAGUCUGGAUGGAAAUAGAGAAGAAAACAAGUGCUAACCUCGUAGAGCAGUUGUGGAUGGGUGAGUAGCAGCCCAGGGGCAGCAUUUGCUUUAGGUCCUCCUCAUGGAAUUAGGGUCAUUACUGUGAUUUACUAAGAAACAUAUGUGCAAGUAUGCACUGAAACUGCAGAAAAUAGAAUUUUAGAAGCUUAUUCAGCAGUGGAUUUCAGCAUACAGAUGCUGGAUAUAAUAUACUCGCACUAAAUUGGAUUCUGGGUGAAUAAAGGAGCUGCUCUUAAAUUCAGCUUGGAGCCCUGCUCAGCACUCAGUUUGAAAUACACAGCCUUUUUGUUUCGCUUUUGCAACUUAUUCAAUAAAUAUUUUGGCAUGCCUGUCUGUUACACUGCCUUAAUCUUCUCUUCAACUGAGCAGAAAUUAGCAUUUGUAAUUUAUUCGCCAAGGGAAACUAAAAAGGCUUUGCACCAGGGUGAAAUUGAAUGCCCAACAGAUAACCAGAAUGCUGAGUCAGCACAAUGUGCAUUUGACAAAUAUGCCCUUUGCCUGCAGCUAACUUAAUGGACCACAUGGCAAAGAGUGGGGGGCAAGCGUUUAAGCUUUUAUCUGUGACUUGCUGGAAUGAUGCAGGGCUGUGGUGGCUCACAGUGCAGUGCCAUCAUCCCCUCUUCAUGGCCCGUGACCACUGGCCAUGCCAUUCAAGUCCCUUUUUCAUUUGAAGCAAAUCACAAGAUGCCCAUUUUGUAUAAUAAAUAGCAGAUAGACCAGUGUUUCAGUUAUCUUACUGAGAAACAAAGUCUGUAAUCAGCUCGAUUUCCUUUUUUUCCCCUCAAUCCAACCCCAUGCAGGUUUAAAUAAAUUAACCCUAAAAAAAGCAACCCAAAUACCCACUCAAUAGAUUUCAGUGACUAGACAGCAGGUUCACCCUUGGGAUGAUUUGUAUAGCUCAUUAUUAGAAUCACAGAACCAUUCAGGCUGGAAAAGCCCUCUGUGACCCCCACCCCCCCCCCGUGCCCACUGCCCACCCCUCAGUGCCACAUCCCCGCGGCUCUGAACACCUCCAUGGACGGGGACUGCCCACCCCUGGGCAGCUGUGCCAGUGCCUGGCUGCUCUCUGGAGCAGACAUUGCUCUGAGAGCCAACCUGACCCUCCCUGUACAGUCUGAGGCCAUUCCCCUCUCAUCUUAUUGCUGGGGCAGAGUCCAACCCCCACUUCACUACAUGCUUCUUUCAGGGAGUUGAAGUCACAUCCUGGAGUCGAUAAGGAGCAGUUUGAGCCAUGCCCUUGGCCCCUCUCCUUACAUAAGAGAUGAAUUUUUGGCACAGAGUGCUGUUUUGGUUGCACCUGUUUCUUAUUUGGUCUCAUGAAUCAUUUGGGGCAUUGUUAUGAGGCAGGCCAAUAAGACAGACAUAUGCCAAUUAGGGCUGUUCUGAGAAGCAGUCACAAUGCAUGUGGUUUAUGAGUGCUAAUGUCAUUGAUUUCUGCCUUUUCAAUGAGCUAGCCAGCACUCUGCAUAGAGAAUUUAUAAUCAGAAACAUCCCUCCGUAUUGGCACAUGGAUAGGGCCUGACUUUUAUUGCAGCAGCGUUUGAUCGAUGCAGCGAUAUGCCGUGUGGGGUGGUGAGCAAUGGGUCUCAUUCUGCCAUACGUGGAGCAGGAGGCACUCCCAGCACAACAGCAGAAUACCGGCGUACUUCAAUGCACAGUUACCUGCUUGCUGGAGAAGGGAGGCAUGAAGCUGUUCUCCCCUCGUGUCCCACUUGCACACACUCCCGUUUGCAGCACAGUCACAGAGCAGCCAAUGCUUGCUGAAAAACAAAGUAAGAAAAAGGAGUGCAAAAUGUACAACUAUUACUCUGCAUAAGAAAAUUAAGGAAAGAGAAACCAGCAUAGAUUGACAGUGUGGGGGGGGGCAGAUGAGUACUUACUUUUUCCAGGACGAAUUGCUUUGGUUUUUUUCUUCCUUUUUAGUUUGUUAUAACCAUAACUUUAUUUAAAUGUCGCUUUUCUUUCCAGCGUGGUUGUGGUAAUUUCUUAGAGAACAUAUUUUAAUGGCCUGGCUGUACGCACAGGAUUUCUGUUUGCUUCUGUAAUUGCUUCUUAAUUAUUUUCCAAUUGCUGAAACAACAGUUUCCACAGUUUAUUAAAAAGCAUUUUUGAAAGCUUUACCCGAAGGCAUUGUCAACAUUUUAUUACUAUCACUAACAGCCAGCACAAAUGAAUAAUCACCAGCCCUGGUAGCUCGUGUCAAGCAGUAGAGAGCUGUCAGAGCCUUAUGUAGAAAUUAGGGUGAUGUAGGAAUUGGGAUGCAUUCACUGUGCUUCCAGGUUGGAGCAGCCCCAUUCCCACCAUGGGAAUGGAUUAACUUUAACCCCAAUGGCAUCUCUCUUUUAGGUGUGAUGUCACUAACAGAGAUAACAUCACUGCGUUUGGAAGGAGAAAUACUCUCAGAAAUCUUAAAAAUAACAUUACAGCAACUUUCUUUUGUUGUUUAAGCCACUUUUGCCCCCACACAUAUAUUGUAGGGAAAAACUGGCCUGAUCCGUGUGGUUAUAACAACCGAUUGUAGGUUGUUAUAUGUAUUGUUAUAUGUACAACCUCUAUGUAUUGUAUAACAACCUACAAUCGGUUGUUAUAACCAGCACUGGGUAGCCUCAGUAGCAGCAGCCUGCUCCCCUAGCCAUGUGCAGAGGUGCCCUUCCUGCAGAACUUUGCCAAGGAUGGAACCAAGAUUUACUGUCAGAGCAGUGAGCUGCUGCCCAACACAGUACCGCAUCCCCCCCAACCCCAUCACUGCCCCCCCAUGCCACCUCUACCUACCAGUAAUUCAUGCCAUCUCCUCGGAGGACAGAAGUCGUCAGUUCCCACGUCUUCUCAAACUUAAGUAUUCAAAAUACCUAGAAAUUAGUCAGAAGUUUUAGGACAAAGGGUUCAGGGUGGGAAUUUGCAGGAUAAAGGACAGGUUUACCAAAUCUCCCACUGCUUAAAACAAAAGAAAAGUGGAAAACUUCAAGAUGUGCCUAUCACAAAAUAUUUCUUUCAAACAAAAAUAAAGAAAAGAGGGAUCAAAGUUGGUAAUUGGCAUUCUUUUCAUUCCAAUUUGCUGCUAUUUUCAAGCUCCUAAUUUCUCCUCUAUUGUUGAAUAGGAUCGUUUUGCUUUCCGAACCACCCUCCCCCCCCAGCAGCCCUGAGCACACACAGCCCUCCUUCUGCCUCCAGGCUGUGGUGCAGCUACAUCUCACUUCAGAGCAUCCUCCCCCUUUCAGCCAGCACCCACAGUUUCUGCCUGCUGAUUCAAGGGCUGGGAAAGAGAAAACCCACUUGAACUCCUGGGGGCUGGAGCAGCACGAAGGAAAACUGCUGAGAGCAUCCCAUGCCUGGACUCUGCCUGCAGUCCCACAGCCACCUGCCCACACCCCAUACCUCAGACCCCAGGCAGGGGAUCCAACCACCCCCAGCACAGCCCACAGGGAUGAAGGAAACCAGGCAGCUGCAAAGAAACCUUCGUGCAGAUGGUGACAAGACAGAAGAUCACAGAGCUCCAAGAUAAAAUACAUCAGUCACACAGCUGAAGUGAUUGAAUUUACACAUGUUCUCCUCUGUGCAUGAGGAGAACAGAGGUGUUCUUAUUGCUCAGGAGAGAGGAAAAAACAAUUCUAAUACUUCCAGUAUUAAUUUUAAUAUUAAUCUGUUGCCCAUAAUAACUUGUAAAAUACAGAGAUCUCAGCUGAGCUUAAGGGAACUGGCUUAUGAAUGUGCAUGUAGAGCGUAGCUUAUGAAAAGUUAAGGUUACAUUGCUACAAUUUUCAGAUUAAAAAAGCCUGGAAUUUAAUUACUAUCAACAGCUGACCAAUGUUCCCAGAUGACUUUUUACCUUUAAGCAGUUUUGGUUUGGAUUUUCUCAACUCACUUCACCACCCAUGAGGUUCCAUUGAGGAAGUCAGAGCAAUGGUAGCUUGCAAGGCAGCUCCAGGUCAGAAGGAAGAACUCCAGCAUACAUCCCAGCUUCUAAAGCAGAGCCCAGCAUAUCUUCUUGUAAUGAUUCUCCCACCUACAUCUUUGGGCCGGAUCCUAUCAGCCUCUGGAAGUAAAACAUUGGAUAAACAAAGAAUGUUUGCAGUCGUUCGCCUAAUCUAAAUAUUUCUAUUAAAAACUACAAGACCAUACUUACUUGUAUACAUCAGAAUAAGGCAUGCAUGGCACCUAGCAGAGGCUGCAUGCUCAGUCUCCCCCCCAGGUACCACUCAGCACAAGGUGGCUGCUCACCGUCCGUCGAGCACAGGUACUAAACGUGUCUGCACAGCUGGUGAUGCAGGGGCAGCAAACUGCUUUUCAGCACUUGCAGAAGACUUGUGGUCACCUAGGAUACAAACAAAAAAAG
This is a long non-coding RNA of Gallus gallus (chicken), 13095 nucleotides long. Lineage: Eukaryota; Metazoa; Chordata; Aves; Galliformes; Phasianidae. The record is from Ensembl.